CAUUUCAUAAGUUAUCAAAAAAGAUUGCAAAAACACAUUACAAAAAAGUUACAAAAGUCUAAGCAUAUCUAAUCUUCCUUCGCUUUAUUCUUGAGCUCGUCAAGAACCUCCUUGUGCUUAGACAUCUCCUCAGGAUUCGCCACGACCCACGCCAAUAUAUCAGAAAUGUAAUCAAUUGGUGAGCAAGCUUGAGAAUACGGAGGGACCAAAGUAGUUGAUAUCUUGAAGUUGAUCAGAUUGAUCGUUGAUGUCAAACUUCAAGUCCUCCACCAACUCGGAGGAAGUGCGCAGAUCUUCCUUAACUUUCUUCAACUCUUCAGUAGAUUGGGAGAGUUGAUCCUUCAAUUUCUAUUCAGAUUGAGAAUGACUCGCACGGAGUUCCUCAAUAGUGGAGUGUAAGGAAAGAGAGCUCCCAAUCUAUGAAUUCAGCUGAACUUUUAGAUCCUGUGCCGCUUUCUGAGCCACAACCUCAACAGUCAUAUGAGCGUCACGCUCUUUGCGAAGGGCCAGGAUUUUCCCAACAUACUCGUCAAUUACUUUCUUCUGAUCUGCAAUAGUCUUGUGUUUUUUGGGAACAACAUUGUUCUCCAGAUUUUGGCAUCUCUGGAGCACGUUCCGCAUCGAAUUGACCUCCUUUUUCACAGUCACAUACUUCGAGUGAAGAGCAUUGUAUUUGUCUUGGGCUUCGAGGGAAUCAGGAGAAAAAAGUGAGUAAAAAAAGAUAGGAAUAACAUUUGUAAAUGUAAAUGUAAAACUUGUUAAACGGAAAUAACAUUUGUAAAUGUAAAACUUGUUAAAAAAAUUACAAUUUUGUUAAAAUAAUUUGAGCUUAAAGUAUGGGUGGACGUGGGUACUUCAUCUAGAAAAGAAGGAUUUGUUAAACCGCACACAAAAUCCAGAUGAAAAAUAAAGAAACAUCGAAAUAGCACAAACCUUGCUAUCAAGCUUGUGCAGAGAUUCAUCUUUCGCAUAUAACUCCAUCUGCAUCCCCCUCUAUUUUAAUCUCCUUCUCCCUCUGAAUAACCAGAAGAAGAUGGAAAAAUCAAAUAUCACACAUUGGAACAAUCAUCAAAUUUUAAAAGAAACAUGCCAUUUUUACAUUAACCUGGUUUUUAUAUUCUGCUUUUAAUAAAUCUGAAAAAGAAAAAAAUAAUCAACCAACAUUUCAGGCAUAACCAUAACCAAAUCCUUUAUUAUUGGGCUGUCCUACCAGGCAAGACCCAAGAUCACCAAGCCUAGGUCAAGACCCAAGAGCACCAAGCCUAUAGUUUUAUUGCAUAAAUUAUCUAAACUUUUAAACUAAACUUCAGUAAACUAAACUUCACAUCUAAAUUUAGUUUUCAUAGAAGUGCUUUUUGAUAUCAUAAAUUCAGUAAACUAAACUUCUAAAUUAGUUAUUGAUAUCAUAAAAUAUAAGAAGAAUAUUCCUUUGUUACCUUAAUAACAUCUUUGUAAUCCGUUCACUGACUCAGAAGAAGAUAAAUAAAUCAAUUUCUUGAAGAAGCACUGUUAUACUAACCUGCAAGAAACAAAGUUUAGACAACUUUGCUUAAAAAAAAUGAACGACAAUGAAGUUGGAGACAUGAAAAAUUGGGGGACCUGAAAAUUAAGAUUUACCCACCUAUGAGACUGAACGUGUUCUGAUUGUGGAGCUGGAGUCUGAGUGUGGAGUCUGAGCGUGGAGCCGGAGCCGGAGUGUGGAGUCUGAGUGUGGUCUGAUUUCUGGACGAGUUAUGGAAUCCGUCUGAAAUUAGGAGGAGAAUCGAGAGUGGAGUUGACGAGUGUGGAGUCGACGAAUUCAGAAUCGAGAGUAAGGGGAAUGAGGAGAAUGAGGGGGUGUUGCCCGUGAGGAGAGUGAGGAGAAUCGAG
This 1869-nucleotide long non-coding RNA is filed under the name Zostera marina. Its description in RNAcentral is "long non-coding RNA (ZMAR_LNC000680)". Lineage: Eukaryota; Viridiplantae; Streptophyta; Magnoliopsida; Alismatales; Zosteraceae. The record is from RNAcentral.